This 460-nucleotide ribosomal RNA is filed under the name uncultured bacterium. RNAcentral's name for it is "partial 16S ribosomal RNA". It matches the Rfam family "Bacterial small subunit ribosomal RNA", at positions 338 to 795 of the family's 1533-position model. The record is from RNAcentral.
CCUACGGGAGGCAGCAGUGAGGAAUAUUGGUCAAUGGGCGUAAGCCUGAACCAGCCAAGUCGCGUGAGGGAUGAAGGUUCUAUGGAUCGUAAACCUCUUUUAUAAGGGAAUAAAGUGUGGGACGUGUCCUAUUUUGUAUGUACCUUAUGAAUAAGGAUCGGCUAACUCCGUGCCAGCAGCCGCGGUAAUACGGAGGAUCCGAGCGUUAUCCGGAUUUAUUGGGUUUAAAGGGUGCGUAGGCGGCCUUUUAAGUCAGCGGUGAAAGUCUGUGGAUCAACCAUAGAAUUGCCGUUGAAACUGGGGGGCUUGAGUAUGUUUGAGGCAGGAGGAAUGCGUGGGGUCGCGGGUAAAUGCUUAGAUAUCACGCAGAACCCCGAUUGCGAAGGCAGCCUGCCAAGCCAUGACUGACGCUGAUGCACGAAAGCGUGGGGAUCAAACAGGAUUAGAUACCCGUGUAGUC